UUGUGUUGACAAUAAAAAAACGAAAAAGUACCGAGUUUCGUGGGAAAGUUUAAUACGUUUUGAGUUUUGAGUUUACUAAUUUCAAUACACGUAAUUAUAAUUGUAUUGUGUUUCAGAACGUAUGUGAUAUAGUAAACGAAUUGAAAAUGCCAAAUAGGAUAUUACUGAAAAAAGACAAGGAUAUUUCCAAAUCCAAAAAUGUUGAUGUAAAAAAUGGAUCAGGAGCAGAAAUGACAGGAGAUGAUGUACAUGAUGGCACUUCUACUGGACAUUCAAAUACUGCUCCUAGUCCUCCACCAACACAAAUAAACAAACUUAAGUUAGGACCAAUCACAAUAAAAAGAGAGAAAAGACAAAACUCUUCACGUUUUAAUGUUGUAACUACCAACCGCGAACUUCAAGUUCUACAAUCACUUCAUGAAGCCAAUGCAUCUGAAAGAGAACAGUUGCUUAUUCAGAAAAUGCAACAGUGCUGUGUGUUAUUUGACUUUAUUUCUGAUCCACAGUCUGAUCUAAAAUGGAAAGAAAUCAAGCGAGAAACAUUACAUGAAAUGGUAGACUAUUUGUCAUCUAAUCACGGUAAUGUGCUUACUGAAGCUAUAUAUCCCGAAGCUGUAAGAAUGUUUGGAGUAAAUUUAUUUCGUAGCCUGCCUCCAUCAAGUAAUCCCAAUGGUGCAGAGUUUGAUCCAGAAGAAGAUGAACCUCUAUUAGAAGCAGCCUGGCCUCAUUUGCAACUGGUAUAUGAGUUCUUUCUUAGGUUUCUAGAGUCUCAAGACUUUCAGCCCCAUGUAGCUAAGAACUACAUUGAUCAGAAAUUUGUUCUUCAGUUGUUAGAACUAUUUGAUUCAGAAGAUCCACGAGAGAGAGACUUUUUGAAAACUAUACUGCAUCGGAUUUAUGGUAAAUUUUUAAGUUUGCGAGCAUACAUACGAAAACAGAUAAACAACAUAUUUUAUAGUUUUAUAUAUGAAACAGAACAUCAUAAUGGCAUUGCAGAGCUUUUAGAAAUAUUAGGAAGCAUUGUCAAUGGUUUUGCAUUGCCUUUGAAAGAGGAGCACAAAGUAUUCUUGCUAAAAGUUCUACUACCAUUACACAAAGUGAAAUCUUUAUCUGUGUAUCAUCCACAAUUGGCUUAUUGUAUUGUGCAGUUUCUUGAAAAAGAUCCAUCUCUUACAGAACCAGUUAUCAGAAGUUUGUUAAAGUUUUGGCCAAAAACACAUUCCCCAAAAGAAGUUAUGUUUCUUAACGAAUUAGAAGAAAUUUUGGACAUAAUUGAACCACUGGAAUUUCGAAAAGUCCUUAAGCCAUUAAUACAUCAAUUAGCUAGAUGUGUCUCUAGUCAACAUUUUCAAGUUGCAGAGAGAGCACUUUACUUUUGGAACAAUGAGUAUAUUAUGUCACUAAUGUCUGAAAAUGUUGAUGAAAUUUUGCCAAUCAUGUUUCCAGUGUUAUACAAAAAUUCUAAAACUCAUUGGAAUAAAAAUAUACAUGGUCUAAUGUACAAUGCAUUAAAAAUAUUUACUGAAACUAAUCCUGUACUAUUUCAUUCGUGCACACAACAAUUUAAAGAAGAUAGGAAGACUGAAAUGGAAAAGUUAAAAAAACGAGAUGAAAAGUGGCAUCGAGUUGAAGAGUUGGCUAAAAGGAAUCCCAAUUUUACAGUAUCUAUUGAUAAUAGUUUGUCAUUUUAUACUGACCUUGCAAGGUCACCAAUUAACGACUUAGACCCGACUAUUGAUUUGAAAACUUUGGAAGAGGAUACCAAGUAUCAUAUCGAUACAGAUAACCGUAAAAAUCGAAAAGAAAAACCUUUAUUGAGGCGUAAAUCUGAAUUACCACAUGACACAUACACUUUGAGGGCAUUAAAUGAUCAUAAGAGAGCCGAUGAAUAUCUAGCUACACCACCUGAUGUUAAUAAAUGCUAGCCAAUUGUUUCAAUUGUGAUNACCAUUUUAUUUCUAUAUAAAGAGUCUAAACAACUAAGGAUUACUCAAAAAAAAAAAAAGUUAUAAUGGUUAUUCAUCUCAUUAGGGGUCAUUUAAAUGUUGAGUUUAUCUUUUGUUAGGAUUAACAUGUUAUAAGUAGUUCAACCAGNAAUUUUCCAAAAUGUGAAUGAAGAAAAUCAUGUGAAGUGAACGCACUCUUAUCUACUUCGGUUGUGUUAUUUAUUUUUAAAAUAAACAUUAAACGUGUCAUUUAAAUUUUUUUUAUUUACCACAAUAUAUUAGUUUUAAUUUUUGUUUCUAUGAAAGUAUUCAUUUUUAAAUGGUACAUAACAAAAAUUAAGUGAGAUUGCAUUCAAGAAUAAUUUCAGAGAUUUUUAUUGAUUCUCAUGUUGGUUU
This 2342-nucleotide unclassified non-coding RNA is filed under the name Diuraphis noxia (Russian wheat aphid). RNAcentral describes it as "serine/threonine-protein phosphatase 2A 56 kDa regulatory subunit gamma isoform-like, transcript variant X1". Lineage: Eukaryota; Metazoa; Arthropoda; Insecta; Hemiptera; Aphididae. The record is from RNAcentral.